UUUGUUCGGCCGUCGUUCUUCCUCGACGUAGACGCGUCGGCUGCAGUUCUCCGCUGAACUCGAGCUAUUCAGUGUACGCGUACGACUUGAAAAUACUCGUCAAACGUUUUCGGUAUUUUCAAGUCUUGAUUUUACUACUGCCAACAUUUACACUCAUUUGGAAAGUUUUCCUGCCACACCAUGGCAAACGACGAAGUAGUGGUUGACAUGCCUGCGUCAGAUAAUGGCGGGGACGCGGUUCAGCCACCCUAUCAAGACGGAACGAUGCCUGAUAACGAAAUCUGUAGAGUCGAUCUUCAAACGGACGGUGCUCCGGUUCUCGGGGUUUCUGACCCCGUCCAAAUGAACGGGAAAAUGGCAACGAACAACUUCGCUGAACUCGUUCAGCACACGAGGGACGCCUUUUUCAGCGGAAAAACCCGCCCCCUCGAAUUUCGUAUUAAACAAUUGAAAUUGUUGCACAAGAUGCUCGAAGAAAACACGGGAGAGAUAAACUCGGCACUGAGUGCAGAUCUGCGAAGGAGUAAAUUCGAGAACACCGUACUGGAGAUCGAUUAUUGUGUAAACGACAUAAAAAGCACGCUGAUGCACAUCAAGGAAUGGGCGGCUACAGAAAAGCCUCCCAAAGAUUUAGUAAACAUACUCGACUCCGUCGAAAUACACAAAGAUCCUUAUGGCGUCGUGCUAAUUAUUGGAGCCUGGAAUUAUCCUCUCCAAUUGUGCAUCGUGCCCAUGAUGAGCGCCAUGGCCGCCGGAAAUUGCGUUAUCCUCAAACCAUCCGAAGUUUCACAGUCAACAGCGGCCCUUCUCAGUCGACUUAUUCCCAAGUAUUUGGACAAUGAAUGUUAUCACGUGGUUUUGGGCGGCGUGCCCGAAACGACGGAACUGUUGAAGCAAAGAUUCGAUUACAUAUUUUACACGGGGUCAACGAACGUCGGUAGAAUCGUUCGGGAAGCUGCCAACAAAUAUUUAACACCUGUGACUUUGGAAUUGGGUGGGAAGAGCCCGGUGUACAUCGACAGCACGGCUGACAUAGAAGUGACUGCGAAACGCAUACUGUGGGGAAAAUUCAUAAAUGUUGGACAAACUUGCAUCGCGCCAGACUACGUUUUGUGUAACUCCGAAGUCCAAUCAAAAUUCGUUAAGCAUGCUGAAAAAUUAAUCAAAGAAUGGUACGGUGAGAAUCCGAAGGAAAGCAACGACCUCUGUCGCAUCGUGUCGACGAAUCAUUUCAAUCGCUUGGUCACAUUUUUGUCCGGAAAUGGCAAAGUUGCAAUUGGCGGUGACACGGAUGCGAGAGAAAAGUAUAUUUCGCCGACGAUUCUGGUCGACGUGAAGCCCUCCGAUCCCGUUAUGAAAGAGGAAAUAUUCGGCCCGAUUUUACCAAUCGUUAAUGUCAGUAGCGCUUACGAGGCGAUCAAUUUUAUCAACGAACGAGAGUGCCCCCUCACAAUGUACAUAUUUACCAAGGAUAAAGCAGUCCAACAAUUGAUUGUAAGUCAAACCCGAAGCGGUGCGGUCUGCGUCAACGAUACGCUGAUGCAGUAUGCUGGGAAAAACCUCUAGCGCUGUACUUAUUUGGCAAAGAUAUGGAAACUAUAAAACAGAUCACUGAGAACACAUCUAGUGGUGGAGUACUCGUCAAUGAUUCGAUGCUGCAUGCCUCAGUUGACGCGCUGCCCUUCGGAGGCGUUGGAUCCUCAGGAAUGGGAGCGUAUCACGGAAAGGAGAGUUACGAUACUUUCGUUCAUCGUAAGGGUUGUCUCGUCAAGGACUUCAAUCCGAUCGGCGAAAAAUUAGCGUC
Molecule: unclassified non-coding RNA, 1804 nt
Filed under: Venturia canescens
Lineage: Eukaryota; Metazoa; Arthropoda; Insecta; Hymenoptera; Ichneumonidae
Description: aldehyde dehydrogenase, dimeric NADP-preferring, transcript variant X8
Source: RNAcentral